This 212-nucleotide long non-coding RNA is filed under the name Homo sapiens (human). Its description in RNAcentral is "PREDICTED lncRNA (TCONS_00126993)". The record is from RNAcentral. Lineage: Eukaryota; Metazoa; Chordata; Mammalia; Primates; Hominidae.
CGGAGCUCCUGGCUUUGACCUAAGCCUGAGCGUCCCUCCCACAGGCCGGAGCUCUCUCGUUGGUGCUGCACCUCCAUCCGGGGCUACAUGUCCCCUCCACCUUUCUCACCCAACACUGGACGGCAGGGAAGCCCUGUGAGGGAAGAGGGGGCUCCCAGAGUGAAUGGGCAUUGGUCAGUGGGGCUUGCGGCCCUAUCUCCCCAGGGAGGGAG